GGCAAGUGUUUUAAGAGUUGGUAGUGAAUAUUAUCAGGCCCACAAGCUGUAUCAUGGGCUUUUGACAGAGAUGUUUUAAGUUCUUCAAGAGAAAAUAGUUUAUUAUAAUUUUCACCAUUUUUUGAUUUAAAGUUUAAUUUAAUUUUUUCUUUUUGUUUUUUAACUUUUUUAAAGUCUUCCCUGUAGUUGUUACAAGAAGAAGACUUCGCAAAAGUUUCACCAAGUUUGUUGGCAAUAUCCUUUUCAGAUGUUAAUAAAUUAUUGCCGUCUUUCAAAUGUUUUACAGUGGCUUUAGAAUUU
Molecule: long non-coding RNA, 300 nt
Filed under: Mytilus galloprovincialis (Mediterranean mussel)
Lineage: Eukaryota; Metazoa; Mollusca; Bivalvia; Mytilida; Mytilidae
Source: RNAcentral